CGGGAACCCGGCCCGGCCGUACCCCGCCGGCCUGCCGACCCGGGUCCGGGGGCCCAGUUGGCGCCCGGACCAGCUCUCCGGUCUGCGUCCUGUAGAUGGGAAAACUGAGGCCUGAGAGGGCGCGAGGGCGGGGACGAGGCCGAGGACUCGGGUUCGAAUCUCGAGGACGCCAGUAGCCCGCUCUGAGGCCGCGUGGGGCUGGUGGAGGAGCCACCGGUCGGGCCCCCAAGACCGGCUGACGUGGGCCUCGCCUCGGGCGACUCCCGCCGGGCUAGUGGCUGGCCGUGUGGUGACCUUGGGCGAGUUACUUCGCACAGCCACCCAGGGGCCUCUUCUCCAACACGAUAGCACUGCACCCGGAGGGCCUUCAGACCUGAGCUGAAAUCUACACCACCGGCUCUCUGACUAUCAGGCUUUGGACUAUACUUUGGGCUUUCCUGGGUCUCUUACCUGGCAGACAGCAGAUUUUGGAACUUUUCAGCCUCCAUAAUCAUAUUCUACUGGAACUUCUAGCAGGCAAACUCACCUAGUGCUCUCUGGAAGGUGAUGUGGGUGGAACUCUGUCUGAUUCCAAUGUCUAGAUGCCAAUGAGCUCUCCACCAUCACCCCAGAGACAGGGGAAAGAAGAUAUAAGUAGACCUGGGCCUGUCUUCAUUCACUCUCAGUGAGCACACGGCAGGCAUUCAAGAAAUAUAGAGGCUGAAUUACAUUUUUUUUGAGGGUCUAAACUUUGCCCUCUGUGACUAGGUGUCAUUUGAUAUGGCAAUGAGAAUACAGAGCAGAGAUACUCAAACUCAGGAACCAAAAGAAUCAUCUGAAGAUAACUGUUAAAAUGCAGAUUCUAGGGUCCUCCCUCCAGAGAUUCCGAUUCAGUGGGGCCCAGGAGACAUUUUCAAUUAUACCCUCAGAUUAUUCUGACACAAGUCAAUCACAGAGCACAUGGCUACUUGUGACAAAAUCACAGCCAAGCUAGGUUGAGAUAGUUUGCCUAGACUCUGAUGUGGGUUGUUCCCAAACAUCCCCACUAAUGUUUAUAAUUCCUUUUCCUUAUGGGAGGGAGAGGCCAGUGAUGUGUUGGCAAAUGUUUAAUAACUGGAUCUCUGGUGGAAAAGAAAAAAAAUCCCUGAUUUGCAGCAUUUGCCAAUACCCAUGGUGUAAAUACUCUCACCGUGGCUGAUAGCAAGCUACCAACAGUAGCUUGUUAAGACUGAAUUGGGAAGAGAUGCACAUCAUUGGCCUUUGCAGGUCAGUAGGAGUCAGCUCCAGCAAUCAUUGGAGGGAGGCUGAAUAGGAGAGGAGAGGACUUACCUCCCUGGGCCUCAGUUUUCCCACUUAUAAAAUGAGAAUUCAUGAAGGUUCUGAUCUGUGACUCGAGACUAAUUUUAGGCCUUAGCUCAGGGGCCAUGUGGCCAAAGGAGGUGGUCAGGUUGCCAGGGCACUCAGGGAUGAGGAGGCAGAGUGGGUCAGCUCUGCUUCCUCCUCCCUUCUUGGAGAGGGUGGAGGAGCCCACAACCGGGUGAACAGAGGAGGGGCCUUGGAGUUGGUCCUGCCUCAAAUCUUGAACCAGAUGCUUACUAAAUUUCUGAGAGCCUGUUUCCCUAUCUAUAAACUGGGAAAAUACUACUGUACCUACCCCAUAGAGUGGUUACAAGAAUUAAAUGAGACAAAGUCUGGCAUGUGGUAAGGUUUCUGUAAACAUUAAUCUUUCUUCUUGUGACCAUUUCUUCCCCUGCCCAUGACAUUUAUUUCCCAAAUUCUGCCAGAGCCUGGUUAGACCAGUGGGCCAAUUUCAUUCAUAAGCAGAGUAGUAGGUCACCCAUCACUGUGCAAUUUGAGGUAAAGGUCCUUCAGGCAAAAAAUUAUAUGUGUAUACACACACACACACACACAGAUAUGUGUACAUAUAUUCUCCCACUGGUCUGUCAUAGACUCUGAACUUCCACUAUUUAAAUCUUUAUCAAUGCUCCAUAGCAAAAGACCACCAGGAACACACCCGUAGUCAAAGUUGGUAUUACUACAUGCUGCACAAAGGACAUAACACACCUUGGAGACCAUGGGGCAGCUCAGAAAGAGAGUACCAGGAGAGUUUUUCUCUGGGCCAGGUGCUGUCAGGGAGCAGUGGCAAUUCAGUGAUUAGGCAUUUUAAUUAUUUUUAUCUAAGAGGGGGACGAAUGGAAUGUGGCUAAGGCUGUCAUUGGUAAAGAAAUCACCACACUCAUGUUGACCAGGAGAGGGGGCUGUUUGGUAGUUUUAACGAUUUUGCAGUGUUCUUUUUUUUUCGGUUGUUGUUGUUGUUGUUGUUUUGUUUU
This 2309-nucleotide long non-coding RNA is filed under the name Homo sapiens (human). RNAcentral's name for it is "HSALNT0291700". Lineage: Eukaryota; Metazoa; Chordata; Mammalia; Primates; Hominidae. The record is from RNAcentral.